This is a long non-coding RNA of Condylura cristata (star-nosed mole), 1198 nucleotides long. RefSeq lists it as uncharacterized. NCBI's taxonomy places the organism in Eukaryota, Metazoa, Chordata, Mammalia, Eulipotyphla, Talpidae. The record is from RefSeq and is a predicted model, not a curated record. The transcript has 3 exons.
UAAGGAUCCUUCAUGGACUUUAACACUGACCUCUGCUUAGGCUAAAGGAGGCAAAUUGCCUCAAAAUAUGGUGGACACAACCUGAACACUUCUGAUGGUCAUUUCAGCUGAAACCUGGGAAAUGGUUUGACUGUCCCCUCCCCCCACUUUACAGAGGCCCAACAAGGCAAAAUACCCUGACACAAGGGGACACAGUCUCAACACUUCUGAUGGUCAUUUCAGCUGAAACCUAGGAAAUGGUUUUACUGUCUCACCACUUCACAGAGGAGUUCAUUGGAACGUUCAAAUGCUGAGAAUUGAUGUGUACUGACCUCUGCAACGUAAUUUGAAAUGCACUGGAAAAAUAAGACAGAUGAGUAGGAAGACAGAGCCCUGGAUACAGAUCAGAGACAAGCAAAUGCGUCGAGGGCUCAGCUGGGCCUGGCCGUGUGCUCUGCACUGUUACUGCAGCUCUUCUGUGGGUUGAAGAUGGUCCUGAGACACCACAGACUGAGCGGGGAUGCAGCCAGCUCUGGGGGCAGGUCAAGACCUCCACUCCAGCCUGUCCUGUUUUUCCCCUGAACAAACCCCCACAGGUGCUGUGGACCCCACCCCACUCCAACCAAAGCCAUCCAGACGCGGGAAACUACAAAUCCUAUCACCUCGGAAGGGAGGAUGCUGGGGCCUGAGGGUGGAGCUAAGCAUCCUGGUUUGGUAUAAACCAGACAUGUGGACCUUGGGGACCCUGUUUGUGGUCCUGGGUGGCCUCUUGCUCUCUAGGAUUUUGUCUCUCAACCUCUCGGCCUUUUGGCUGGACCCUCAGCUUUCAGAGAAUCUCACAGUGCAACUGGGAUUCCAGGUCAACGGAACUGGUAAGACACAUUUACCAAUUUAUUUCCCUUUCUUUCUCCCUGAAAUAUUCAUUUCUUCACUUCUUUUUCUUUUGUAAAUAAGCCCUUCACUGACCUUUUUGUGUGAGCUGUAGUUUAUUAUUAUAAGUCACUCAAGUGCACAAUGAGGACCCACAGUCAGGCCCUGUUUCAGAUCGAGGCUGCCUGUAACACUUCAAAGCCUCAGAGGCACACUUUUUUCUGAGUCAUAUGGUCGAUGGAGAUGACCACUAAGCUGUUCCAUGAGCCUGUGAGCCAGGCAGAAAUCUCAGUCUGACUGGAGUAUCAGUGUCUCCUCAUUGUCAGCUCCCAAAAUGCUCACCUGUCUG